AUUAUUGAGAGAAGAUAGAAAGCAACUUUUGAUUGAUCAUUGUCUUCAAAAAUAUAUCGCAAAUUUAAGUCGGAAAGUGUGAUCGUUUAUUGAUAUCUAAUUUAAUUCUUCUGUGGUAAAUUAUUUAUGUUUUUACGUGAUGGAAAUUAAUACAAAUCUAUCAUGUCAUAUUUGCCAAAAACACUUCUCUUCUGCAUGGAAUUUUAGAAGACAUUUAAAGGCCCAACAUAGUUAUAAUGAGAGUAGUAAGUAUUUGAAAGAAAAGUAUGAGCCUAUGUAUAAAAUUUUAUUCUAGUACCGACUGAAGUAAGUUUACAAGUUGUUCCAUUGAAUGAUAAAGAAACUAAUACUCACAACAAUAUCCAAUGUCAUUUAUGUGCAAAAAAAUUUGCCACAGGUUUUAGCCUCAGAAGGCACUUAAAAAGUCAACAUGUAAACAUUGAAGAAGAUAAACCCACCAAAAAGCAAAGCAUUAAAGUUAGUCAUGAAAGUCAAGGAAAUGAAGAAAAAAAAAAUUGUUCAAACAAAAAUGAGGGGCAUAAAGUAUUAUUAGGAAUUGUCAAAACUUCAGUGAAACAUGUGGAAUUCAUUCCAAAACCAGAUCAAAUUGUUGAAGUUUUAUUACAGAGCAAUAACCAAGGUCGUGAAAGUGGAAACAAAAGUCAAGAAUAUGGCUGCUUACAGGAUAAAACAUCAUCAGCUACACAAAAACAUAUGAAAAAACAUCAGAAAAAACAAAGAAAUAAUGGAAAAAAAAGUUAAAUCAAUUAAGAUGCUUGGAAGAAAUGUGCCAUUUUAACUGUACUAGAUUAAAAAGCCUUCGUUAUCAUUUAGAGUUGAAACAUAAUAUUUUGCAAGAAGUGGAAGUACUACAGUUUGAAAGCAUUGAAGAAUUUAAAAAAUGGAAAAAUCAGGAGGAAAGCAAAUGUGUGGCAGUAUGGGUAAAAGCAUGUGGUAUUAAAAAAAAUAGACAAGGUGCACCUAUUUAUUACUAUUGUAAUCGAACUGGUAAAAGGAAAGUUUUGGCAGCAGCAAAAAGGAAACGUGCCCUAAAAGGGCAAGGCUCAUGCAAAAUUAAUGCUUCCUGUACUUCAGCCCUGAUAAUUAAGCAUAUUUCUCAAGGUGUAAAAGUAACCUAUUUUAAAAAUCAUUAUGGGCAUGAAAAAAAAAUGGCCUAUAUUUCAUUAUCCAUAAAUGAUAAAAAUAAGAUAGCACAACAAUUGAUACAAGGUAAUUAAAAUAUUAUCUAAAA
RNAcentral lists this long non-coding RNA (1252 nucleotides) under Anthonomus grandis grandis. RNAcentral describes it as "uncharacterized LOC126746801". Lineage: Eukaryota; Metazoa; Arthropoda; Insecta; Coleoptera; Curculionidae. The record is from RNAcentral.